RNAcentral lists this unclassified non-coding RNA (217 nucleotides) under uncultured Lactarius. Its description in RNAcentral is "sequence contains ITS1". The record is from RNAcentral. Lineage: Eukaryota; Fungi; Basidiomycota; Agaricomycetes; Russulales; Russulaceae.
UCGUACAACGAGAGGUGCCAGGGCUGUCGCUGACCCCCUCUUUUUGAGGUCGUGCACGCCUUGAGUGUCCUUUCAAACAUCCACCACACACACCCCUUUUGUGCAUCACCGCGUGGGCUCCUUUGGGUCGGUUCGAUCCAAGUGGGGCUUGCGCUUUUUACACAAACACCCUUCGAAUGCAGUGUAGAAUGUCCUUUGCGAUCGUAUGCGAUCAAUA